GCACUAUUCUCACUAAGGCAGUUCAUAUUAUACACUUAGAAGAAUAUCGAAGAAAUUAACGAGGCCCCAGUGCAAGAAUGAUACACAUAUUUUUGAAUCACUCCCAUUAUUU
Molecule: small nuclear RNA, 112 nt
Filed under: Prolemur simus (greater bamboo lemur)
Lineage: Eukaryota; Metazoa; Chordata; Mammalia; Primates; Lemuridae
Source: RNAcentral